RNAcentral lists this ribosomal RNA (253 nucleotides) under uncultured bacterium. Its description in RNAcentral is "partial 16S ribosomal RNA". It matches the Rfam family "Bacterial small subunit ribosomal RNA", at positions 524 to 776 of the family's 1533-position model. The record is from RNAcentral.
UACGUAGGGUGCGAGCGUUGUCCGGAAUUAUUGGGCGUAAAGAACUUGUAGGCGGUUUGUCGCGUCUGCUGUGAAAAUCCGGGGCUCAACCCCGGACUUGCAGUGGGUACGGGCAGGCUAGAGUGUGGUAGGGGAGACUGGAAUUCCUGGUGUAGCGGUGAAAUGCGCAGAUAUCAGGAGGAACACCGAUGGCGAAGGCAGGUCUCUGGGCCACUACUGACGCUGAGAAGCGAAAGCAUGGGGAGCGAACAGG